AACGAACGCUGGCGGCACGUUUUAAGCAUGCAAGUCGAAUGGCAGCAGGGGCAACUCUGUGAGAAUGGCGAACGGGUGAGUAACACGUAGGUGAUCUACCUUGAGGAUGGGGAUAGCCUGUGGAAACACAGGGUAAUACCGAAUAAGCUGACGGGACUUUGGUUUUGUUAGUAAAGGUGCUACGGCACCGCCUUGAGAGGAGCCUGCGGCUGAUUAGCUAGUUGGUGGGGGAAAGGCCUACCAAGGCGACGAUCAGUAGCCGGCCUGAGAGGGUGUACGGCCGCACUGGGACUGAGACACGGCCCAGACGCCUACGGGAGGCAGCAGCUAAGAAUCUUCCGCAAUGGGCGAAAGCCUGACGGAGCGAUGCCGCGUGAUCGAUGAAGGUCGAGAGAUUGUAAAGAUCUUUUCUACAUGAGGAAUAAGUCUGGGAGGGAAUGCCUGGAUGAUGACGUUAGUGUAGGAAUAAGCCCCGGCUAAUUACGUGCCAGCCGCCGCAGUAA
RNAcentral lists this ribosomal RNA (503 nucleotides) under uncultured bacterium. Its description in RNAcentral is "partial 16S ribosomal RNA". It matches the Rfam family "Bacterial small subunit ribosomal RNA", at positions 29 to 523 of the family's 1533-position model. The record is from RNAcentral.